Astyanax mexicanus (Mexican tetra) is the source of this 460-nucleotide long non-coding RNA. RefSeq lists it as uncharacterized. Lineage: Eukaryota; Metazoa; Chordata; Actinopteri; Characiformes; Acestrorhamphidae. The record is from RefSeq and is a predicted model, not a curated record. The transcript has 4 exons.
AGCUGUAGUUCUGUCAGUGUGUAGGUGUGUAGCUGUAGUUCUGUCAGUGUGUGUAGUUGUGUAGCUGUAGUUCUGUCAGUGUGUGUAGGUGUGAAGCUGUAGUUCUGUCAGUGUGUGUAGGUGUGUAGCUGUAGUUUUGUCAGUGUGUGUAGGUGUAGUUCUGUCAGUGUGUGUAGUUCUGUAGCUGUAGUUCUGUCAGUGUAUGUUGGUGUGUAGCUGUAGUUCUGUCAGUGUGUAUAGGUGUGUAGCUGUAGUUCUGUCAUUGUGUGUAGGUGUGUAGCUGUAGUUCUGUCAGUGUGUGUUGGUGUGUAGCUGUAGUUCUGUCAGUGUGUGUAGGUGUGUAGCUGUAGUUUUGUCAGUGUGUGUAGGUGUGUAGCUGUAGUUCUGUCAGUGUGUGUAGGUGUGUAGCUGUAGUUCUUUCAGUGUGUGUAGGUGUGUAGCUGUAGUUCUGUCAGUGUGU